Molecule: ribosomal RNA, 234 nt
Filed under: uncultured bacterium
Lineage: Bacteria
Description: partial 16S ribosomal RNA
Rfam family: Bacterial small subunit ribosomal RNA
Source: RNAcentral
GAUCCUGGCUCAGGACGAACGCUGGCGGCGCGCCUAACACAUGCAAGUCGAACGAGAGAUGAGGAGCUUGCUCUUCAAAUCGAGUGGCGAACGGGUGAGUAACGCGUGAGGAACCUGCCUCGAAGAGGGGGACAACAGUUGGAAACGACUGCUAAUACCGCAUAAGCCCACGGCUCGGCAUCGAGCAGAGGGAAAAGGAGUGAUCCGCUUUGAGAUGGCCUCGCGUCCGAUUAG